AAGGGCCAUCGCUCAACGGAUAAAAGCUACCCCGGGGAUAACAGGCUUAUCUCCCCCAAGAGUUCACAUCGACGGGGAGGUUUGGCACCUCGAUGUCGGCUCAUCGCAUCCUGGGGCUGUAGUCGGUCCCAAGGGUUGGGCUGUUCGCCCAUUAAAGCGGUACGCGAGCUGGGUUCAGAACGUCGUGAGACAGUUCGGUCCCUAUCCGUCGUGGGCGUAGGAAAUUUGAGAGGAGCUGUCCUUAGUACGAGAGGACCGGGAUGGACAUACCUCUGGUGUACCAGUUGUCGUGCCAACGGCAUAGCUGGGUAGCUAUGUGUGGACGGGAUAAGUGCUGAAAGCAUCUAAGCAUGAAGCCCCCCUCAAGAUGAGAUUUCCCAACUUCGGUUAUAAGAUCCCUCAAAGAUGAUGAGGUUAAUAGGUUCGAGGUGGAAGCAUGGUGACAUGUGGAGCUGA
This 456-nucleotide ribosomal RNA is filed under the name Staphylococcus aureus. Its description in RNAcentral is "partial 23S ribosomal RNA". It matches the Rfam family "Bacterial large subunit ribosomal RNA", at positions 2437 to 2894 of the family's 2925-position model. The record is from RNAcentral. Lineage: Bacteria; Bacillati; Bacillota; Bacilli; Caryophanales; Staphylococcaceae.